Molecule: ribosomal RNA, 469 nt
Filed under: uncultured bacterium
Lineage: Bacteria
Description: partial 16S ribosomal RNA
Rfam family: Bacterial small subunit ribosomal RNA
Source: RNAcentral
GACGAACGCUGGCGGCGUGCUUAACACAUGCAAGUCGAACGGAAAGGCCCUGCUUGCAGGGUGCUCGAGUGGCGAACGGGUGAGUAACACGUGGGUGAUCUGCCCCUUACUUUGGGAUAAGCCUGGGAAACUGGGUCUAAUACUGGAUAGGACCAUGCUGUAGGUGGUGUGGUGGAAAGAUUAGUUUCGGUAAGGGAUGAGCUCGCGGCCUAUCAGCUUGUUGGUGGGGUAAUGGCCUACCAAGGCGUCGACGGGUAGCCGGCCUGAGAGGGUGGACGGCCACAUUGGGACUGAGAUACGGCCCAGACUCCUACGGGAGGCAGCAGUGGGGAAUAUUGCACAAUGGGCGCAAGCCUGAUGCAGCGACGCCGCGUGGGGGAUGACGGCCUUCGGGUUGUAAACUCCUUUCAGCCAUGACGAAGCCCCUGUGGUGACGGUAGUGGUAGAAGAAGCACCGGCUAACUACGUG